GGAAGUGAGGGGCAGGCUCAGGAUGCCAGCUCCUCUGGUCCCACCGUGCCCCCAAACCUUCUGGGUCCCGGGCUGGACCUCCAUCUGAACUCACAUUUAUUCCUCCCCCCAGUCCUGUGAGGUAGCUCCUAGUCACCCCCAAUUUAUAGACAGGGCCCCUGAGGUUCAGAGAAGAGAAGUAAGUUGCAUAAGUACCCUCAGCACUUAAGUGGCGAGUGCCUGAGGCAAUAAGUAGCCACUGGAUAACUAUGCUUUAGAUAAACGAAUAACUGGAAAGCCAAGACUCACAUAACAGGUCUACCUGCCUCCAGAGCUGGGCUCUCAGCCUCCCUAUCUGCUACUCAAGUACUCCUGGCCUGUAUAUUUCAGCCACACCCUCAUUCGACCUCCAUCAGUUUCCCCUGGACCAGAACACAGGACCCCUGGAUCCCUGGUCUGAGGCAUGCCUGGCUGUGGUCAUCCCAUUACCCAACAUCCAGCCUCAGUUUCUUCAUCUGUAUAAUGGAAUCAGCGAUUCUCCUAUCUCCCCAUUAACUCCUAUGUAGGAGACUCCUUUUUCAGUUGGGGUUUUGGGGGUUUCAGCCACACUGGCCCCUGCCUAGUGGAGGGAGUGGAUAGGCAGCCCCGCCCGGCAAGAGUGUCGUGUCCACAGUUAUCAGGACGGCCAGGGCGGAAGGAGUCGCUGAGGCCGGAACUACCGGAGGUGGGGGAGGGGGCGACCUCCACCCCUCCCCCAAGAACCCAGCCUGCGGGGCCUGGAUGCCUGGGUCCUCUAGCUGCAUGGGGUUCUUAGCGACCGGGCAAGGAGGAAGGCGUCCCCCACCCAUGGACCUGGAUAGGGGUCCGGACGCGUCGCCUGAGCACUCUCACCACCUGGGGUCGCUGACCAGCGCACCCAGGCCCGGACCCCGUCCGCACCAGGGGCCCCAAGAGUCCAGCUCGCCGGACUUCGCCCGGCUGAGAUCCGGGAGUCUGGAUGUCCAGCCCCGAGGGCGCCAUCUUCCCCUAGGGGUGCCGCCGCUUCCGGGUCUGUCCCAAGGUGGGGGCGUGGCCCUGAACGUCAUCCACGUGGACUCCGCCCCGCGGGGCCUGGCUCCCGCCCCCUGCGCACCUGGCCCCGCCCCGCCGUCGGUUUUCAGAGAGGUUGCUGGGUUCCGUGUGGAGACGACCCGCGAAUGAGUCCACGCAGACGCGCACCAAGUCGCCGGACGACGCACUCACAGACCCAUGUGAAGGACACAAGGGGGACAUCUGUGACAACAGAGGCAGAGCCUGAAGUCCUGCUGCCACAAGCCAAGGGACACCAAGGACUGCCGGCAGCCACAAGAACCCAGGGAGAGGCAAGGAAAGACCCUCUCUUCCAUGCUACAGGAGUAUAGCCCUGCCAACGCCUCGAUUCUGUACUGCCGGCCCCCAGAACUGUAUGACAAUAAACGUCUGUUGCUCUAA
Long non-coding RNA from Aethalodelphis obliquidens (Pacific white-sided dolphin), 1449 nucleotides. RefSeq lists it as uncharacterized. The record is from RefSeq and is a predicted model, not a curated record. NCBI's taxonomy places the organism in Eukaryota, Metazoa, Chordata, Mammalia, Artiodactyla, Delphinidae. The transcript is spliced from 3 exons.